UUUUUUUUUUUUUUUUUUUUUGGUGUGCCAGAGGCAUGUGGAAGUUCCUGGGCCAGGGAUUGAACCUGAGCCAUAGUAGUGACCUGAGCCAUAACACUGACAACACUGGAUCCUUAACCUCCUUUGCUAUCAGGCAACUCCCACAAAUGUAUUUUGUAUUUGGAAUUAAGUAAAUGAUGUGCUGAGGCCGCUCUCUCCAGAACCCUUUAGUAAUUCCUUAGGUUUGGUUUGCUCUACACUUGAUCUUUAGACUAUACAGCCCCCACCACAAUUACUGAAGCAACAGAUGGAGCUGACUUAGGGGCUGCUAUCCAAGCCACAGUUCUCUAAGAGGUCAAGGGGCGGGUGUUGCAAUCCUGAAUGGGACUGGUCAAUCGAUUCAGCUACCUCAAUGGAAGUCCUAAAAAUAGGAUUGAGACACACAGAAUGUUCUAGAGAAUCCAUGAAGGGGUAGAAGCCUCAGAAGCCAACCCGCAGAGACGGAAAAAAAAAAAAAAAAAAGAAAGAAACAAACAGCAGCAGAAGAUGCAGAGCCAUAAGGACCAAAAUGUUGCAGGAAGGGGAACCCUUUUCAGGACCCAAGAAUGGGCUCUCAUCUAACACUCAGAAAUGGCUUGUCUGAGGAGAUACAUGCUGACGAAGCAAAAAACUUUACUGGGAAGGGGGACCCCAGUGGAGAGCAGCAGGAUAAGGGAACCCAGGAGAACUGCUCUGCCACAUGGCUCACAGUCUCUGGUUUUAUGGGAAUGGGAUUAGUUUCCAGGUCAUCUCUAGCCAGUCAUCCUGCUCAGCCCUUACUUGGUCUGACCCAGGGCCCUUCUUAGUGACAUGCAUAUCUCUCAGCCAAGAUGGAUUCAAGCACCAAGGGUUCCAGAAGGUUGGUUGUCUCCUCCCUCCUUUUGGCCCCUCCCAAAUCCUCCUGGGGCAGCACCUUGGUUCCUUAUCAGGGCCUCCUGCUGUGAGACCACUCAUGCAAACAACUAUUGCAGUGCUUGGUCAAAGUGGGCAGUUUUGGUCACUGUUCCUCUAACAAAAAGAGUAGAAACUCUUGAUUGGUGAACGGAGCCACAAGCCACACCAUCAGCAGUGAAAACCACAAAGGGGAGCAGAGGAGCAGCAACCAGUAUGGUGCGGUUUCACCCUUGGUUUCCAAAAUUGCUAUUGAGAAGGGAGUUGCCAAUGUCCUUGGUCAGAUCCACACAAUCUCCUUUUUGGCGCGACUAUAGGUCACUUCACCAAACUCUUUGCCUCCAUCUACCUUAUACUCUGAGAACCUACCAUCGAUGCAGUUUCCAGACUUAUCAAUGAUGGUUCAGUCUCCUCAAGCGAUAAUCUCCUGCAAACAGUACCACACUGCCUGCAGUUUCAAGUCCAAAAGCUUAGUGAGUCAUAUCAGGGUCUCCUCAAUGAGCAUCAAAUUUUGGUAAGUGUAGCAGCCUCCUGCAGCAUAUGACAAAAAUGAUUCUGAUUUUGCUGGUAGGUGAAGCUCAGAAAAUGGUAUAUUUUUAUGCAAAUGGCAUGGUUUGAAAAUAGAAAGUAUAAAGGGAUUUCAAAAAAUCUGCCUUCUGCCUUUGGAUUCAUCUAUACACUCUCUCUCCUCUUCUCCCCCUAAUUUCUUGUUUAUUCUUCCAGAUAUAUUUUACGCUAAUAUUUUUCAGUAUGAAUAUAUAUUAUUUUCUUUAAUUUAAUGCAAAUAUUUACAUCCAAAACAGGCUGACCCCAAGUUCAUGUGCUUUCUAUCUAUUCAUGAUUUCCAACACUCCUCCCUCCAAAUAGUUAGGCAUAUGGAGUGGGUGAACCCCUUUGGCAAAACACUGACUUUCCAGAAAAAUUAAAAUAAAACAAAUACAAAUUACAACAGUUGAUACAAUAAAUUAAUAACUAAGAGAAGGGAAAACUUAAGACGUCCCUUGGUUGGAAAAAAAACCUAAGCAGUCUUUCAAAAAUCUAAGCUACAUGCAAGCCUGUGAUUUACAUUUUUUUAAUUAGGAAAAAUAAGUCUAAAUGAAUUUAAAGUUUCAUACUGAAGCAAACACCCCAGGGUAGAGGUAAAGACUGUGUUCCUUACAUUUUCCAACACAAAACACAGCACCUGGCACAUAAUAGGUGUUCAAUGAAAGUUCUGAUGAAACCAUAAAUGCAUAAAUGAAUGAAAUCAGAAAUAUCUGAAUGAAUGGGAAGGCCCAAGGAUUUUGAUUUAGGAAAGAGAGAGAUCCAACAUAGAAAUCAAGAAAACUCGGUAGUGCCCAAAUAAAGAUAUUAAAUCUGCAUUGUAAUUUUGACUUUACAGUUUUCCCAUCAGUAUUAAAAAUAUUGUACAACACAGGAAAUAUAGCCAAUAUUUUAUAGAAACUAUAAAUGGCACAACCUUUAAAAAUUGUGAACCACUAUGCUGUACACAUGAAACUUACAUAAUAUUCCACAUCAACUAUAUCUCAAUAAAAAGUAAAUAAAAUUUGGAGUUCCCUGGUGGCUCAGCACAUUAAGGAUCCAGCAUUGUCACUUGUUGUAACAGGUGGUAUUGGUUGUAACAGUAGCCAGAAUGGCCACCACUGUGUUACUGUGUUCCCUUUUGUGUUUGGGGGACUGUGGAUGGUCUGGUUACUGCUGUGGCGUGGGUUUUACCUAUGGAACUUAAACAUGUCUCAGGAGUGGCAUAAAAAAUAAAUAAAUAAAAAGUAAAUAAAAUUUAAAAAUCCUAUGGAAAGAAUAAUAAUGAGAUUGAAGUUGUGUUUCAAUCAAAUUGAACCUCCCUUAAAAUGUAUAUAAGAACGUAUAUGUGAUUUGAGAAUGGCCACCACUGUGUUACUGUCUCGAGCUGCUUUAGUUAAUAUUCUUGUACAGCAUCCUAAAAGGAAAAGCAUAGACCCUGUAUCCCUAGUCCCUCUAGCCUGGGAUAAGCCAACAAGUCAAUGAAGUUCAUAAUCUCCCCUUCAAUGGGGCAGCCCAUCCAUGGUCCCACAAACACUACAGGGAACACACUUUCACUUUUACAAAACAUUAGUGAAGAGUCAAGAAUGAUGGAAGCCAGCAGUCCUCUAUAGAACAGUUCACAUUGUGGCACCGCCCCAGCCUCCCCUGGGGUCCUGGGCUGAGUCACCUCCCUGCCUCACUCUCACCUUUCUCCCUGGCCAUGGGCAGCCCAACAUCAGCCCCAGCGAGGUCAAGGAAAAAAUGUCUCCAUUCUCUUUCCUUACCAACGUUUGUCUUCAUCCCUAAAUGAGAGAUGUGAUAAUUACCAUUUCCUUCCAGGGAAAACCUCCCCCCACCACAAUAAGGGAUGAGGUGUGGCUCCAUGACCACAUAUGCCAGGACUCUGUAGGGGGGGCCAG
This 3332-nucleotide long non-coding RNA is filed under the name Sus scrofa (pig). Its description in RNAcentral is "lncRNA (ENSSSCG00050001321.1)". The record is from RNAcentral. Lineage: Eukaryota; Metazoa; Chordata; Mammalia; Artiodactyla; Suidae.